RNAcentral lists this ribosomal RNA (499 nucleotides) under uncultured bacterium. Its description in RNAcentral is "partial 16S ribosomal RNA". It matches the Rfam family "Bacterial small subunit ribosomal RNA", at positions 28 to 507 of the family's 1533-position model. The record is from RNAcentral.
GACGAACGCUGGCGGCGUGCUUAACACAUGCAAGUCGAACGGGCCUGUCUUCUUUUUUGGGGGUGGGUUGAGUGGCGAGCGGGUGAGUAUCACGUGAGUAACCUGCCCUUCGGUCCUGGAUAACCGCUUGAAAGGGCGGCUAAUACGGGGUGGUCCGGUUGGUCCGCAUGGGCUGGUCGGGAUAGAUUCACUGUUUUUGGUGUUUCGGCGGGGGAUGGGCUCGCGGCCUAUCAGCUUGUUGGUGGGGUGAUGGCCUACCAAGGCGGUGACGGGUAGCCGGCCUGAGAGGGUGGGCGGCCACACUGGGACUGAGAUACGGCCCAGACUCCUGCGGGAGGCAGCAGUGGGGGGUAUUGCACAAUGGGCGGAAGCCUGAUGCAGCGACGUCGCGUGAGGGAUGGAGGCCUUCGGGUUGUGAACCUCUGUUUCCGGUGGUGAAGGCCCUGUCCGUGUGGUGGGGUUGACGGUAGCCGGGGAUGAAGCGCCGGCUAACUACGUG